RNAcentral lists this ribosomal RNA (408 nucleotides) under uncultured bacterium. RNAcentral describes it as "partial 16S ribosomal RNA". It matches the Rfam family "Bacterial small subunit ribosomal RNA", at positions 28 to 526 of the family's 1533-position model. The record is from RNAcentral.
GACGAACGCUGGCGGCGUGCUUAACACAUGCAAGUCGAACGGAGUGGCGAACGGGUGAGUAACACGUGGGUGACCUGCCCUGCACUUCGGGAUAAGCCUGGGAAACUGGGUCUAAUACCGGAUAGUGUGGGAUGGGCCCGCGGCCUAUCCGCUUGUUGGUGGGGUAAUGGCCGACCAAGGGGGCGACGGGUAGCCGGCCUGAGAGGGUGGACGGCCACAUAGGGACUGGGACACGUCCCAGACUACUACGGGAGGAAGCAGAGGGGAAGGUGGAACAAUGGGCGGAAGCCUGAUGCAGCGACGCCGCGUGGGGGAUGACGGCCUUCGGGUUGUAAACUCCUUUCACCAUCGACGCGGUAGAUGGAGAAGAAGCGCCGGCUAACUUCGUGCCAGCAGCCGCGGUAAUAC